UGGCGGACGGGUGAGUAACGCGUGGAAAACCUGCCGUAUACUGGGGGAUAACACUUAGAAAUAGGUGCUAAUACCGCAUAAGCGCACAGCUUCGCAUGAAGCGGUGUGAAAAACUCUGGUGGUAUACGAUGGUUCCGCGUCUGAUUAGCUAGUUGGUGGGGUAAUGGCCUACCAAGGCAACGAUCAGUAGCCGGCCUGAGAGGGUGAACGGCCACAUCGGGACUGAGACACGGCCCAAACUCCUACGGAAGGCAGCAG
Molecule: ribosomal RNA, 258 nt
Filed under: uncultured bacterium
Lineage: Bacteria
Description: partial 16S ribosomal RNA
Rfam family: Bacterial small subunit ribosomal RNA
Source: RNAcentral